This 253-nucleotide unclassified non-coding RNA is filed under the name uncultured Flavobacteriaceae bacterium. RNAcentral's name for it is "contains 16S-23S intergenic spacer region". It matches the Rfam family "Bacterial small subunit ribosomal RNA", at positions 524 to 776 of the family's 1533-position model. Lineage: Bacteria; Pseudomonadati; Bacteroidota; Flavobacteriia; Flavobacteriales; Flavobacteriaceae. The record is from RNAcentral.
CACGAACCGUCCAAGCGUUAUCCGGAAUCAUUGGGUUUAAAGGGUCCGUAGGCGGGUUAAUAAGUUAGUGGUGAAAGUCUGCAGCUCAACUGUAGAAUUGCCAUCGAUACUGUUAACCUUGAGUAAUUAUGAAGUGGUUAGAAUAUGUAGUGUAGCGGUGAAAUGCAUAGAUAUUACAUAGAAUACCGAUUGCGAAGGCAGAUCACUAAUAAUGUACUGACGCUGAUGGACGAAAGCGUAGGUAGCGAGCAGG